UAGUUACCUAUGAGGCUGGUAGUGAAAGGUGGGACUGUGUUUAGUUAGUUACCUAUGAGGCUGGUAGUGAAAGGUGGGACUGUGUUUAGUUAGUUACCUAUGAGGCUGGUAGUGAAAGGUGGGACUGUGUUUAGUUAGUUACCUAUGAGGCUGGUAGUGAAAGGUGGGACUGUGUUUAGUUAGUUACCUAUGAGGCUGGUAGUGAAAGGUGGGACUGUGUUUAGUUAGUUACCUAUGAGGCUGGUAGUGAAAGGUGGGACUGUGUUUAGUUAGUUACCUAUGAGGCUGGUAGUGAAAGGUGG
Molecule: long non-coding RNA, 302 nt
Organism: Oncorhynchus keta (chum salmon)
Lineage: Eukaryota; Metazoa; Chordata; Actinopteri; Salmoniformes; Salmonidae
Exons: 3
Source: RefSeq, a predicted model, not a curated record